AACGAACGAGACCUUAACCUGCUAAAUAGCCNGGCUCGCUUUUGCGGGUCGCCGGCUUCUUAGAGGGACUAUCGGCUCAAGCCGAUGGAAGUUUGAGGCAAUAACAGGUCUGUGAUGCCCUUAGAUGUUCUGGGCCGCACGCGCGCUACACUGACAGAGCCAACGAGUUCUAACCUUGUCCGAGAGGUCUGGGUAAUCUUGUUAAACUCUGUCGUGCUGGGGAUAGAGCAUUGCAAUUAUUGCUCUUCAACGAGGAAUAUCUAGUAAGCGCAAGUCAUCAGCUUGCGUUGAUUACGUCCCUGCCCUUUGUACACACCGCCCGUCGCUACUACCGAUUGAAUGGCUCAGUGAGGCCUUCGGAUUGGCUCAGGGAGGUCGGCAACGACCACCCAGAGCCGAAAAGUUGGUCAAACUUGGUCAUUUAGAGGAAGUAAAAGUCGUAACAAGGUUUAGAAUAAGAUCUAACAGUGGUCCUUCCGUGACGCUUAUGAGAAGCCUUUGUGGCCCUGCAAAGGGUAUUGGCAACGACUAUWAAGAAGAACGCUGGUAUUAAAUCGCAAGUCAGCGUAACAGCUGGCAACACUUUCGAAUUGCGGGAACACCCUAAAGCCCUCUCUACCAACCCAGCCAGGAAACUGGCUGGGGGGCUAAUGCUAACAACAUUGGAUGGUAAAAACGAGUUGGGAUAGGUACAAUGGGUAAUCCGCAGCCCAGUCCCUAAGGCCAACUGGCUAUGGGAAAGGUUCACAGACUAAGUGGAAGUGGGUUGGGGCACAAUUGCUCCAGCUUAAGAUAUAGUCGGGCUCUUGAAGAAAUUCCUGAGAAGUCACGUGGAUUGAGAAACUCGAGCAUUUUCAGCUAUUCUCAAUCCUCUACUUAAAAACUGUUCCGUAGGUGAACCUGCGGAAGGAUCAUUAAAAAUGCCAUCUGGCAAAUGCAUUCCUCCUCUGGAGGUCUGUUUCAACCCUUUGUGAAAACCAAAACCUUUUUCGCUUCGGCAGCUGGCUGAGCUCUGCUCGGCCGUCAGCCUGCCGAUGGCAUCAAUUUAAACCAAACUUGUAUCUUGAAACGUAAAAGUCUGAACCAUUCUAUUGAAUGAAAAUUAAAACUUUCAACAACGGAUCUCUUGGUUCUCGCAUCGAUGAAGAACGCAGCGAAACGCGAUAGUUAAUGUGAAUUGCAGAAUUCAGUGAAUCAUCGAGUCUUUGAACGCACAUUGCGCCCAUUGGUAUUCCGAUGGGCACGUCUGUUUGAGCGUCAUUGCAACACCUCAGCCUUUCCGGUUGGUUUUGGGCCUGGCAUCCGUCAAGGAAUCCGGCUUCAAAGUUGCACGCUCUGCGGGCCUGACCGCUCAGAAAACAUAGUAUGACUGCUAAUUGUUGGAAGAGUUUCUGGUUGGGGCUUCCGCCUGAACAAACUAUCUUUACCAAUGUUUGACCUCAGAUCAGACGAGGAUACCCGCUGAACUUAAGCAUAUCAAUAAGCGGAGGAAAAGAAACCAACAGGGAUUGCCUCAGUAACGGCGAGUGAAGCGGCAAGAGCUCAAAUUUGAAAUCUGGUGCCUUCGGCGCUCGAGUUGUAAUUUGAAGAGGAUGCCUCGGUUGCAGCCACGGCCUAAGUUCCUUGGAACAGGACGUCGCAGAGGGUGAGAAUCCCGUACGCGGUUGGCGGCUCGCUUCCAUGUGUGGCUCCUUCGAAGAGUCGAGUUGUUUGGGAAUGCAGCUCAAAAUGGGUGGUAAAUUUCAUCUAAAGCUAAAUACUGGCGAGAGACCGAUAGCGCACAAGUAGAGUGAUCGAAAGAUGAAAAGCACUUUGAAAAGGGAGUUAAACAGUCCGUGAAAUUGUUGAAAGGGAAGCGCUUGCAAUCAGACUUGCUAGCGGUUGAUCAACGUUCCUUCUGGUUCGUGCACUCUUCCGUCUGCAGGCCAGCAUCGGUUAGAGCGGUGGGACAAAGACUGCGGGAAUGUGGCUCCUCGGAG
This 1979-nucleotide ribosomal RNA is filed under the name Orbilia paracylindrospora. Its description in RNAcentral is "eukaryotic LSU rRNA". Lineage: Eukaryota; Fungi; Ascomycota; Orbiliomycetes; Orbiliales; Orbiliaceae. The record is from RNAcentral.